This 497-nucleotide ribosomal RNA is filed under the name uncultured bacterium. RNAcentral's name for it is "partial 16S ribosomal RNA". It matches the Rfam family "Bacterial small subunit ribosomal RNA", at positions 28 to 507 of the family's 1533-position model. The record is from RNAcentral.
GAUGAACGCUGGCGGCGUGCCUAAUACAUGCAAGUCGAGCGAACAGACGAGGCGCUUGCUCCUCUGACGUUAGCGGCGGACGUGUGAAUAACACGUGGAUAACCUACCUAUAAGACUGGGAUAACUUCGGGAAACCGGAGCUAAUACCGGAUAAUAUCUUGAAGCGCAUGGUUCAAUAGUGAAAGACGGUUUUGCUGUCACUUAUAGAUGGAUCCGCGCCGCAUUAGCUAGUUGUUAAGGUAACGGGUUAUCAAGGCAACGAUGCGUAGCCGACGUGAUAGGGUGAUCGGCCACACUGGAACGGAGACGCGGUCCAUACUACUACGGUACGCAGCAGUAGGGAACGGGCCGCAACAGGCGGGAGCAUUGCGGAGUGACGCCGAGUGAGUUACGAAAGUGCCGGGAGCGGAAAAAUCGGCUACGAGUUGUGAACAAAUUUGGAAGGUACCAUGCACGGCUUGACGGUAAUGAGUCAGAAAGCCACGGCUAACUACGUG